GAAAUGCGAUAAGUAGUGUGAAUUGCAGAAUUCAGUGAAUCAUCGAAUCUUUGAACGCACAUUGCGCCCCUUGGUAUUCCAUGGGGCAUGCCUGUUCGAGCGUCAUUUGUACCCUCAAGCUCUGCUUGGUGUUGGGUGUUUGUCCCCGUCUCCGCGCGUGGACUCGCCCCAAAGUGAUUGGCAGCCGGCGUACUGGUCCCGGAGCGCAGCACAUGUCGCGCAAACGAGUGCCUUGGUACGGCGGCGUCCAUAAGCCCCUCUCUCACGCUCUUGACCUCGGAUCAGGAAGGGAUACCCGCUGAACUUAAGC
This 310-nucleotide unclassified non-coding RNA is filed under the name plant metagenome. Its description in RNAcentral is "partial contains 5.8S ribosomal RNA, internal transcribed spacer 2, and large subunit ribosomal RNA". The stretch from base 1 to 105 matches the Rfam family "5.8S ribosomal RNA", at positions 50 to 154 of the family's 154-position model. The record is from RNAcentral.